UACGUGGGUGCAAGCGUUGUCCGGCAUUAUUGGGCGUAAAGAGCUCGUAGGCGGUCUGUCGCGUCGGCUGUGAAAACUUGGGGCUCAACCCCAAGCCUGCAGUCGAUACGGGCAGACUAGAGUCCGGCAGGGGAGACUGGAAUUCCUGGUGUAGCGGUGAAAUGCGCAGAUAUCAGGAGGAACACCGGUGGCGAAGGCGGGUCUCUGGGCAGUAACUGACGCUGAGGAGCGAAAGCGUGGGGAGCGAACAGG
This 252-nucleotide ribosomal RNA is filed under the name uncultured bacterium. Its description in RNAcentral is "partial 16S ribosomal RNA". It matches the Rfam family "Bacterial small subunit ribosomal RNA", at positions 524 to 776 of the family's 1533-position model. The record is from RNAcentral.